CUUCCAUUUCUCUGUGUCUUUGCAAGUUGCUUGUCCUCCUACCGAUGGUCCCAAGAUGUCAUGGCACCAGACAUAGGGAAUCUGUGUGAGUGAUGUCGAUGGUCUGUCUGUCCAGCUUGUCCCUAAAUUGAACCCAAGAAGAGAAGGAUCCUAGAAUCAUCAUUUUGCUGGGACAUCAUCUGUGUUCCACGCCUUGUGGAACACAUUUCUCUCUUCUGUCUGACUUGUCCUCUGAGCAACACUAAGCUCAUAGGAAGAUAUUUUUUUUUUACCUAAUCCGAGAAGAAAGGUGUGACUUAUUCCACUUUGAGGUGGAAAUAGCACCCUAUAACCCAACGCUUUCCAAACCACCAUCUACUAUUCUGGCAAAGGAGAUUCCCCAGGAUCCUAUGCUGGUCUUAGUCACUGUACCAGGCUGAGCUGCUCAAGAGAGCUCAGCAGGACCUCUCAGGAGUUUCUGUCUAGCGGUUUGGAGAUCUGGCUUGCCAUUCUGUUCAAAGUAAUGCGACUACACUGUUCGCCUGCUCCCAUCCACUGGAAUAUGCACUUUUGUUUCGGGACCAGUCUUUCUACUCAGAGUCUUCUGAAGUACCACAAACAUGAGUUGUAGCAGGACGCCACUCUUCUUCUAACUCCGUGGGACAGAUGGAAGGACACCAGUGCAUGUCCACAUGUGCAGCUGAUGACCCUAGGAAGAUGGAGCCUCACCCCCACAGUUUGAAGGUUUAGUCUCCUUCACCCAUGGGGUCUCACUCUCUCACAUUUGCCCUUUCUAGACACUUGGUGGAUUUUUCUUAAAACUAGAUGCCAGAGCCAGGGUGAGGGUGUGUGCCGAUAAUCCCGGGACUUUGGAGGCUUAGAUUGGAGAGUAGCCAUAGACUCAAGGCCAUCCUGGGUAAUAUAAGGAACAGUAAUCUAGCUUGGUUGCAGUGUGAGAUCUCUCUCUUUAAAAACUGAGAGUGAACAACAGGACUAGUGUCGGUGUGUCCAUCGUGCACAUAGGUUCUUGUUCCUGGGUUCUUGCCCAGCACAAAAUCAAACCAGGUGGAGCUUGCCUGGUAUUGGGGUUGGAGACAAGAGGAUCAGGCAGUCAAGGUAUGUUCCAACACAAAGAUUGAAGCCAGUGUGGGAGGAAUGACACUAUUUUAAAGAAACAAUCCCUACUCUCAAAUCUUAAUGCCCAUAUCUAAGAAAACAAUGACAUGGCAUCCCAUCACAACCGCAUAUUCCUUGUGAAUCUGAAUACCGUUCAAAUGGAGAAAUGAAAACGGAGCAUCCAGAUGUGCAGUGAAUAUUUUGUGUGACUCACAUCAGGAAUUGGCCUGAGCAUUGAGUUCAUCCCUUGUGCACUGCACUGAGGAGCUGUUCGGUAAGUAUUGAUCAUGUGGGAGGUGUGUGGAGGGAGGUUUGGAGGCUAUGGGGAACCCAGCCUGUGUCAAUAAGUAAGAAUGCAGCCAGCUCUUGAAGCUGUGAGACUCUCUGAUGUUGUGCUACCCCUUUUGGUCCUUCUCUACCAG
Molecule: long non-coding RNA, 1517 nt
Filed under: Cricetulus griseus (Chinese hamster)
Lineage: Eukaryota; Metazoa; Chordata; Mammalia; Rodentia; Cricetidae
Description: lncRNA (ENSCGRG00015032920.1)
Source: RNAcentral